Molecule: ribosomal RNA, 371 nt
Filed under: uncultured bacterium
Lineage: Bacteria
Description: bacterial SSU rRNA
Rfam family: Bacterial small subunit ribosomal RNA
Source: RNAcentral
AAUCAACGCUGGCGGCAGGCCUAACACAUGCAAGUCGAACGCUCCGCAAGGGGAGUGGCGCACGGGUGAGUAACACGUGGGAACCUACCUUCUGGUACGGAACAACCAAGGGAAACUUUGGCUAAGACCGUAUACGACCUCCGGGUGAAAGAUUGAUCGCCGGAAGAGGGGCCCGCGUCCGAUUAGGUAGUUGGUGAGGUAACGGCUCACCAAGCCUUCGAUCGGUAGCUGGUCUGAGAGGAUGGCCAGCCACACUGGGACUGAGACACGGCCCAGACUCCUACGGGAGGCAGCAGUGGGGAAUAUUGGACAAUGGGCGCAAGCCUGAUCCAGCCAUGCCGCGUGAGUGAUGAAGGCCUUCGGUUGUUAAG